AUUGUAGUGGCAGUGUUUGAUCUGCGGCAUUUAAUGACUUCUCAUGAUUUCUAUCAUCUUCAUAGAUAUUUGCUCCAGGCUGAAAGCUGACUCAAGUUGAAGGGAAGUCAUAAAGUAUUUUUUUCCCCAUAGUGUUCUCCAUGUCUCAUCGACUCUGGUAAACUUUCUCACUUCACAAAGAGAACAUAAGCUUCGUCUAAACUGACUAUCACGAGAGGAAGAAAAUAAUAAUUUUUACAUAGCAAGAACACAAGAUUUCAAGGUAAUUUCUACAUUAGUGAAUAUGUAUUGUCAGUUAGACUUGCUGUAAACAUUUCUGAAAUGAAUUCA
RNAcentral lists this long non-coding RNA (330 nucleotides) under Vulpes vulpes (red fox). RNAcentral's name for it is "lncRNA (ENSVVUG00000005948.1)". The record is from RNAcentral. Lineage: Eukaryota; Metazoa; Chordata; Mammalia; Carnivora; Canidae.